UACGUAGGGUCCGAGCGUUGUCCGGAAUUACUGGGCGUAAAGAGCUCGUAGGUGGUUUGUCGCGUUGUUCGUGAAAACUCACAGCUUAACUGUGGGCGUGCGGGCGAUACGGGCAGACUUGAGUACUGCAGGGGAGACUGGAAUUCCUGGUGUAGCGGUGGAAUGCGCAGAUAUCAGGAGGAACACCGGUGACGAAGGCGGGUCUCUGGGCCGAUGACUGACGUGAGGAGCGAAAGCGUGGGGAGCGAACAGG
This 253-nucleotide ribosomal RNA is filed under the name uncultured bacterium. Its description in RNAcentral is "partial 16S ribosomal RNA". It matches the Rfam family "Bacterial small subunit ribosomal RNA", at positions 524 to 776 of the family's 1533-position model. The record is from RNAcentral.